ACGCUGGCGGCACGCCUUAUACAUGCAAGUCGAACGAAGUAGCAAUACUUAGUGGCAGACGGGUGAGUAACAUGUAGGUAUCUGCCCUUUGGCCUGGAAUAACACGAGGAAACUUGUGCUAAUACCGGAUAAGUCUUUACGGAGAAAGCUUUAUGCACCAUUGGAUGAGCCCGCACUUGAUUAGUUUGUUGGUAGGGUAAUGGCCUACCAAGACUAUGAUCAAUAGCUGAUUUGAGAGGAUGAUCAGCCACAUUGGGACUGAGACACGGCCCAAACUCCUACGGGAGGCAGCAGUGGGGAAUCUUGCACAAUGGAGGAAACUCUGAUGCAGCGAUGCCGCGUGAGUGAAGAAGGCCCUUGGGUUGUAAAGCUCUUUCGUCGGGGAAGAAAAUGACUGUACCCGAAUAAGAAGGUCCGGCUAACUUCGUGCCAGCAGCCGCGGUAAUACGAAGGGACCUAGCGUAGUUCGGAAUUACUGGGCUUAAAGAGUUCGUAGGUGGUUGAAAAAGUUGGUGGUGAAAUCCCAGAGCUUAACUCUGGAACUGCCAUCAAAACUUUUCAGCUAGAGUAUGAUAGAGGAAAGCAGAAUUUCUAGUGUAGAGGUGAAAUUCGUAGAUAUUAGAAAGAAUACCAAUUGCGAAGGCAGCUUUCUGGAUCAUUACUGACACUGAGGAACGAAAGCAUGGGUAGCGAAGAGGAUUAGAUACCCUCGUAGUCCAUGCCGUAAACGAUGUGUGUUAGACGUUGGAAAUUUAUUUUCAGUGUCGCAGGGAAACCGAUAAACACACCGCCUGGGGAGUACGACCGCAAGGUUAAAACUCAAAUGAAUUGACGGGGACCCGCACAAGUAGUGGAGCAUGUGGUUUAAUUCGAAGAUACGCGCAGAACCUUACCAACACUUGACAUGUUCGUCGCGACUCUAAGAGAUUAGAGUUUUCGGUUCGGCCGGACGAAACACAGGUGCUGCAUGGCUGUCGUCAGCUCGUGUCGUGAGAUGUUGGGUUAAGUCCCGCAACGAGCGCAACCCCCACUUUUAGUUGCCAUCAUUAAGUUGGGCACUCUGAAAGAACUGCCAGUGAUAAGCUGGAGGAAGGUGGGGAUGACGUCAAGUCCUCAUGGCCCUUACGUGUUGGGCUACACACGUGCUACAAUGGCAUCUACAACAGGAAGCAAAACGGCAACGUUAAGCAAAUCCCGAAAAGAUGCCUCAGUUCGGAUUGCACUCUGCAACUCGAGUGCAUGAAGCUGGAAUUACUAGUAAUCGUGGAUCAGCGUGCCACGGUGAAUGCGUUCCCGGGUCUUGCACACACCGCCCG
This 1316-nucleotide ribosomal RNA is filed under the name uncultured Alphaproteobacteria bacterium. RNAcentral's name for it is "uncultured alpha proteobacterium 16S ribosomal RNA". It matches the Rfam family "Bacterial small subunit ribosomal RNA", at positions 33 to 1396 of the family's 1533-position model. Lineage: Bacteria; Pseudomonadati; Pseudomonadota; Alphaproteobacteria. The record is from RNAcentral.